GACGCAGGAUGCAUAUAAGCAGCUGGAUAUGAUGCAAAGUGAGGGUGUCCAACCGAAUCAAGUUACUUUUACUAUUCUAAUUGAUGGGCAUUUCCGAAGUGGCGAAAUUGAUCUUGCUGUUAGUCUCUUCAACAGAAUGAAUGCACAGGGUUGUUCUCCUGAUAAAAUUGUGUAUAACACUUUAAUAAGAGGUCUAUGCAAGAAUGGAAGGCUCAUUGAUGCUCUUUCAAUCUCAUACACAAUGCUCAAAAAAGGAUUUGCCCCUUCUAAAGCAUCAUAUGAGAAUCUUCUCACUUCUCUUUGUGCUAAUAAUUGGAGUGUUCAUGCACUGAAGAUAUGUGAAGAUAUGCUAGCCCAUAAAUAUGUCCCUUGUGGCCAUAAUCUUAAAUUGUUAAUUUGUAUGCUAGAUGAAGAAAAUAAGUCGCAUGAAGCUCGUCUUAUGAAUGAUUUGCUCCUUAACAAAAGAAGAUUUAUGGUGUACACAAGCUAGAGGUUGGUUAUGCAAUCUCUCUGAUAUUGCUGGGCUUCAUCCCCUUACUGAUGCGUGUGCAUGAGCAGGAUAUGGACUUUUCUGUGGAGCUAUACCUUCUAGCUUGAGUACCCUCAGAACUCCCUUUCGUAAACUGUUUUAAGCCACUGGCUACGUGUGUGCAUAAUCCUAUUUGAAAUGCAUUCGUAGCAGAACUCGGGAGCUAAUCUACGUGAUUAUGCUCCAUAGCCAGCCACUCUACUAAGAGGAUUCUAUAUCAUGCCUUGUUUAAAUUCUUGGUACCUUCUUGUUCCAGCUCAAAAGGAACUGUGCGGUUAUUCUUGGCAUGGCCCAUUUCAUUCCUAACUGAUUAAAGAAAAACUGGCGGACUUAUUAUCUUGAGUCAGAGAAGCUUCUUAGAUUCCAGCUCCACAAAACACAAACUUUGACUAAUCAAUUGCUUACCAUAUCUGCUUCCACGGUCCAAAGUAGUCUGAUUGGUAUCUUUGAGAGGUAUUCUAUAUCAAGAUUUAACAGUGACGGAGCCAUUUCCUUGACCUUUCCAGAUGAGCUUAUAAUCACUGCUGUUGGAACCUUUGGAAUGAGGAAAGCUGAAAAAAUCAGAGAUACUUCCCAUCUCCCAAUCAAUGAAGGUCCUCCUAAAGUUUAUGUUCCAAUUGUUAUUUUCUCUGCUUUGUGCCAAGGUGAGAGUAGUAUUCCGUGACAGAUUGUAAAGUGAGGGGGAUUGGUCUUUAAGAGGGGAGUAGUAUUACCAAUUACAUCCUCUGUACAUAAGUUUGACUUCAGUCCUUGGUAGUUGGUUGUGCUGUCUCAAUACCAAUUCCCUUUUAGGCUGCCCCAAUCCCUUCCUGUGAUUAUUCAUAUCUUUGCUUCUAUCCUAUACCUUCCACAAAAAUAGUUAAACCUGAUCAUCAAAAAAGUUAGUCUUUGAUGUUCUGAGCAAAAGUCAAAUUUUGUCUAAACAUGGAAGAAAAUUUUGUUUCGUACUGACUUUUUGGUCUUGUACUCAUUCAUUGUCAACAGCUCUCCAUAUUAGAGGCCUACCUUUUAUGCUAUAUAAGUGAGAAAGCCUUUCUAGUUCACUUUCUUUUCCUUCAAUGUCGUUUCAACUUAUCUAGUAUGAAAUUUUCUCCUGAUAUGCCCUGUAUUGAUGGAAAUACCUCUUCUCUUUUGCCUCCAGCAGAGAGGAUUGACUGCUUGUCAGCCUGUUUCUUUAAAGCUAUCUUGGUUUUUUUUUUCCAGUCAGUGUCUUAUUGGUUCCGAAAAAAGUGCUCUGGCAAUUUUUAGUACACAUUGUCAACCGUUAGUGACUAUAACUACCAGAAUAUAGAGUUUUUGCAUAAAAGUCUGCUUCAGAAGCCACUUCCAUAUAGAGCCUAGUUACAAAUCAUAAUUCUGCGGAUGCAAUUUAGUUUAUUAUGUGUAAGUCCAACGUCUUCCUUAUACAUUCUUUUGUGUGUAGCUAUUAUGCAGGUAUGAGCGCAAGUCAGUGCUCCGAUUCUUGGAGACUUUCGAAAACUAUAGGGUGGAACGCUGCUUGCAUUUAUGCCGGGAGCAUGGAAUUGUAGAUACAGCUUCUUUCUUGUUAGAAAGGGUUGGUGAAUUGGAAGUGUCAUUUUGCUUGUUAUAUCUUCGCUUGAUGAAAAAUUCAUCCUGCUUGAUACUGCCAUUGAAAGUGAACACUGUGAUGCGGCUCCCCAGCAUUUCAAAGCUAUUUUUUAAGCAAGAAAGAGGUCACUGACAUGCUAGAUAUUUUGCACACAUAUAUUGGACUGUGCCAGAGGAACAGCCACCCCUUUGGACACCAAUGAAGCAGAGUCUGUGGUUUCAAUUUCCUCCCUUUUUGAUAGUAACUGUAGAAACGAAAUCAAGUUCUUCAGUUCAACUGAAAUCGGUAGAAGAGGGUGUGUACACUUAUGAAUGAUCUUGAAGAAUCAGCUUUGUUGUUGUGAAAAGACUUGGCAAUGCAAUCAUGUGCAUGAUGCUUGUCUCACACAAAACGACUAGCAGAGAGAGGUGUAUCAAUUUGUAGCAGAUGUUUCAUGUGCAAUAAUGAGGAGGCAAGUAACACAUAUAUAUUUUGCAAUUUUUAUUUUGUAGUUUAGCUUCUUUAUUAGUGUAAAUCUUGCUUUCCUUAACUGCUCUUGUUGGCAAAAUGUGCAAUUUCUAAUUGUCAAAAAAAGUGUAAUUUCUGCACCGCAGUUCCCUACUUAAAAAAUCAAAAUAUGCCAAUUGACGAGAGAA
Molecule: non-coding RNA, 2734 nt
Organism: Nicotiana tabacum (common tobacco)
Lineage: Eukaryota; Viridiplantae; Streptophyta; Magnoliopsida; Solanales; Solanaceae
Source: RefSeq, a predicted model, not a curated record